Molecule: ribosomal RNA, 494 nt
Filed under: uncultured bacterium
Lineage: Bacteria
Description: bacterial SSU rRNA
Rfam family: Bacterial small subunit ribosomal RNA
Source: RNAcentral
AAAUGAAUUGACGGGGACCCGCACAAGCAGCGGAGCAUGUGGUUUAAUUCGAAGCAACGCGAAGAACCUUACCAGGGCUUGACAUCCCUCUGACCGGCGCGUAACGGUGCCUUCCCUUCGGGGCAGAGGAGACAGGUGGUGCAUGGUUGUCGUCAGCUCGUGUCGUGAGAUGUUGGGUUAAGUCCCGCAACGAGCGCAACCCUUGUCAUUAGUUGCCAUCAGGUUAAGCUGGGCACUCUAGUGAGACCGCCGGGGAUAACUCGGAGGAAGGUGGGGACGACGUCAAAUCAUCAUGCCCCUUAUGUUCUGGGCUACACACGUGCUACAAUGGUCGGUACAGAGAGAAGCAAAAUCGCAAGGUGGAGCAAAACUCUAAAACCGAUCCCAGUUCGGAUUGCAGGCUGAAACCCGCCUGCAUGAAGUCGGAGUUGCUAGUAAUCGCGAAUCAGAAUGUCGCGGUGAAUGCGUUCCCGGGUCUUGUACACACCGCCCGU